UACGGAGGGUGCAAGCGUUAUCCGGAUUCACUGGGUUUAAAGGGUGCGUAGGUGGGUUGGUAAGUCAGUGGUGAAAUCUCCGAGCUUAACUUGGAAACUGCCAUUGAUACUAUCAAUCUUGAAUACUGUGGAGGUCAGCGGAAUAUGUCAUGUAGCGGUGAAAUGCUUAGAUAUGACAUAGAACACCAAUUGCGACGGCAGCUGGCUACACAAAUAUUGACACUGAGGCACGAAAGCGUGGGGAUCAAACAGG
RNAcentral lists this ribosomal RNA (253 nucleotides) under uncultured bacterium. RNAcentral's name for it is "partial 16S ribosomal RNA". It matches the Rfam family "Bacterial small subunit ribosomal RNA", at positions 524 to 776 of the family's 1533-position model. The record is from RNAcentral.